CCUACGGGAGGCAGCAGUGAGGAAUAUUGGUCAAUGGUCGGGAGACUGAACCAGCCAAGCCGCGUGAGGGAUGAAGGUACAGAGUAUCGUAAACCUCUUUUGUCAGGGAACAAAGGCGGGGACGCGUCCCCGGAUGAGUGUACCUGAAGAAAAAGCAUCGGCUAACUCCGUGCCAGCAGCCGCGGUAAUACGGAGGAUGCGAGCGUUAUCCGGAUUGAUUGGGGUAAAGGGGUGCGCAGGCGGUCUGUUAAGUCAGCGGUCAGAGCCCGGGGCUAAACCCCGUCCCGCAGUUGAAACUGGCAGUCUCGAGUGGGAGAGAAGUAUGCGGAAUGCGCGGUGUAGCGGUGAAAUGCAUAGAUAUCGCGCAGAACUCCGAUUGCGAAGGCAGCAUGCCGGCUCCACACUGACGCUGAGGCACGAAAGCGUGGGUAUCGAACAGGAUUAGAUACCCUGGUAGUC
This 459-nucleotide ribosomal RNA is filed under the name uncultured bacterium. RNAcentral's name for it is "partial 16S ribosomal RNA". It matches the Rfam family "Bacterial small subunit ribosomal RNA", at positions 338 to 795 of the family's 1533-position model. The record is from RNAcentral.